CCUACGGGUGGCAGCAGUGGGGAAUAUUGGGCAAUGGGCGCAAGCCUGACCCAGCAACGCCGCGUGAAGGAAGAAGGCUUUCGGGUUGUAAACUUCUUUUGUCAGGGACGAAGCAAGUGACGGUACCUGACGAAUAAGCCACGGCUAACUACGUGCCAGCAGCCGCGGUAAUACGUAGGUGGGAAGCGUUAUCCGGAUUUAUUGGGUGUAAAGGGCGAGUAGGCGGGAAUGCAAGUCAGAUGUGAAAACUAUGGGCUCAACCCAUAGCCUGCAUCUGAAACUGUAUUUCUUGAGUGCUGUAGAGGCCAUCGGAAUUCCGUGUGUAGCGGUGAAAUGCGUAGAUAUACGGAGGAACACCAGUGGCGAAGGCGGAUUGCUGGACAGUAACUGACGCUGAGGCGCGAAAGCGUGGGGAGCAAACAGGAUUAGAUACCCGGGUAGUC
This 443-nucleotide ribosomal RNA is filed under the name uncultured bacterium. RNAcentral's name for it is "partial 16S ribosomal RNA". It matches the Rfam family "Bacterial small subunit ribosomal RNA", at positions 338 to 795 of the family's 1533-position model. The record is from RNAcentral.